GAAUGCUGACAUAAGUAACGAUAAAGCGGGUGAAAAGCCCGCUCGCCGGAAGACCAAGGGUUCCUGUCCAACGUUAAUCGGGGCAGGGUGAGUCGACCCCUAAGGCGAGGCCGAAAGGCGUAGUCGAUGGGAAACGGGUUAAUAUUCCCGUACUUGGUGUUACUGCGAAGGGGGGACGGAGAAGGCUAUGUUGGCCGGGCGACGGUUGUCCCGGUUUAAGCGUGUAGGUGUGUGUUCCAGGUAAAUCCGGUUCACUUUAACACUGAGGCGUGACGACGAGGCACUACGGUGCUGAAGCAACAA
RNAcentral lists this ribosomal RNA (303 nucleotides) under Salmonella enterica. RNAcentral describes it as "partial 23S ribosomal RNA". It matches the Rfam family "Bacterial large subunit ribosomal RNA", at positions 1292 to 1596 of the family's 2925-position model. Lineage: Bacteria; Pseudomonadati; Pseudomonadota; Gammaproteobacteria; Enterobacterales; Enterobacteriaceae. The record is from RNAcentral. RNAcentral also lists the same sequence under 5 other names.